AUGCGUCCUCCUGUACUGCUUUCUUGCCCGGGGCUGUUUUCUGCACUGUUACUGAAAAUGCACGCACUCAGUGAUGGACAGAGCUCACUACUGCACACACUCAGCGAUGGACAGCACUACUGCACGCACUCAGCGAUGGACAGAGCUCACUACUGCACACACUCAGCAAUGGACAGAGCUCACUACUGCACGCACUCAGCAAUGGACAGAGCUCACUACUGCACGCACUCAGCAAUGGACAGAGCUCACUACUGCACGCACUCAGUGAUGGACAGAGCUCACUGCUGCACACACUCAGCGAUGGACAGAGCUCACUACUGCACACACUCAGCGAUGGACAGAGCUCACUACUGCACGCACUCAGUGAUGGACAGAGCUCACUGCUGCACGCACUCAGCGAUGGACAGAGCUCACUGCUGCACGCACUCAGCGAUGGACAGAGCUCACUACUGCACGCACUCAGCGAUGGACAGAGCUCACUGCUGCACGCACUCAGCGAUGGACAGAGCUCACUACUGCACGCACUCAGUGAUGGACAGAGCUCACUACUGCACGCACUCAGCGAUGGACAGAGCUCACUGUUGCACACACUCAGCGAUGGACAGAGCUCACUACUGCACGCACUCAGCAAUGGACAGAGCUCACUACUGCAUGCACUCAGCGAUGGACAGCACUACUGCAUGCACUCAGCGAUGGACAGAGCUCACUACUGCACGCACUCAGCGAUGGACAGAGCUCACUACUGCACGCACUCAGCGAUGGACAGAGCUCACUACUGCAUGCACUCAGCGAUGGACAGAGCUCACUACUGCACGCACUCAGCAAUGGACAGAGCUCACUACUGCACACACUCAGCAAUGGACAGCACUACUGCAUGCACUCAGCGAUGGACAGAGCUCACUACUGCACACACUCAGCGAUGGACAGAGCUCACUACUGCACACACUCAGCAAUGGACAGCACUACUGCAUGCACUCAGCGAUGGACAGAGCUCACUACUGCACGCACUCAGCGAUGGACAGAGCUCACUACUGCACACACUCAGUGACUGACAGCACUACUGCAUGCACUCAGUGA
This 1077-nucleotide long non-coding RNA is filed under the name Oryctolagus cuniculus (rabbit). RNAcentral's name for it is "lncRNA (ENSOCUG00000037424.1)". The record is from RNAcentral. Lineage: Eukaryota; Metazoa; Chordata; Mammalia; Lagomorpha; Leporidae.